CUUGCCUGCACUCCCUCCUAACCACACAAACCACAACCUGACUCUCCCUAUAAGCUCAUCGCUUUCCCAUCAUGGAAAGGGGGUUCUCGUUGAGGGUUUAUUUUCCAUGCUGAAGAAGAGACGAGGCCUAGUGCUUAGUCAGGAGUUACAAAAUAAAAAAGAAAGUGAUGGAGUAUGUGGGGUUGUGUGCGGAACGUCCGAUAGAGUUAACUGCCACUGUGUGUGGCACCGGCUCGGCCGUGGACCCAUAAAUAGCAUCACGUGUGUCCCAUUUACCCCUCCCACAGCCCUAAUACAUGAGGGCUACAGUUCAUUCCAACAUCAUUAGGAGCAAGGCAGCUCUGCAACAACAACAUUGUUAAUGGCAAACUACUUGCACAACAGAGUUGCCUUGUCUUUUCAGAGCCUCAGCCUACUGUAAAUGGAAGGAGCUACGAGAAACAGAGCAGCCUGCCCUCCAUCCGUCACAUAUUCCAAGGCAGAGAAGCAUGGCAGGGCCAGCUAAAAGUUUCUUGCCCCAAUCCUGCACAUUAUCAAUGGAAUAUAUAGAGUUUGGAGAUUACAUCUCUAGGAAAUUUGGCCGAGAAGCAAUGGAAUUUAGCAUGGAAUCUGGAUUUUGCUUUAUGGGGAUCCUGCUUGGGUCAAUGUGCCAAACUGGAUUACAAACCCUUCCCUUGGAGUAUGGAAUAUGGAUAACAAUGGAGGAAACGGGAAUGGAAUUGGAUUACAGAGCAAAUUGGAAUUAAUUGUUUCUGAUGGAUCUUUGUUUUCGGAGAAGAAAAUGAAAACCAAAGGUCUUCUGGGGAUGUGGCAGUAGAUCCGGGCAGAAGGAAAACCUAAGGAACCCUAUCCCAGAUGUUCCUAUAGUGCAGCACAUCCCGUGGCAGAACUGUCAUGCUGGAUCGGAUCAUGAAUGGGGAAUGUAUAGGAUACAUUGAUGACUUCCCAACCUGUUGUGAAAUGAUCACUCUUUUGAUUGGCUGAUUCUUGGAGAGAACUCGCCGUCUACAAGGGUGGAGCCUGGUUAAAUGACAAGAAUUUGGAUGGGAGCAGAAAGUUGGGGGCAACUGUUUGAUAAUGGUGGACUCACUCUUGCAGUAUUCAUUCACUGGGUGAAAAUGUUAAUUCUUUAACUUUUAAUGUAAUAAAAAAAUCCUGUACUCGGUUUCUUUUAU
Molecule: long non-coding RNA, 1175 nt
Organism: Xenopus tropicalis (tropical clawed frog)
Lineage: Eukaryota; Metazoa; Chordata; Amphibia; Anura; Pipidae
Exons: 3
Source: RefSeq, a predicted model, not a curated record